CUUAACCUUUCUCUUCAAAUGAAAGGUCAUAUUGCUUUCACUGAGGAAAUGCCACUUCCCCACAGCAGGAGCGGGCAGAUAAAGGAAAGAAGCUAUCUCCAGAGCAUGGUUCUCCACCAGGCUGGGUGGAGGAGGCAGCUGCAGGGCUGAAGGAGGCCUGUUCUGAGAGACUAUUGCUGCACUUGAAGUGCCCUCACAAGCUGUAGACCACGGGAAGGUCUGAGACCUAUGCUCGAAUGGAGACUUCUUUUUAAAAAGAUCGUGCUUUUUGAGCAGCGAGAACUCAGCUCCUGUUUGCGCAGUCCAGACAUGUUGGAUAAUUGUGGCAAGUGUGCAUCCCUCUCUCCAUAUGAGAGUGCUGAACAGCAGCAGUUGCUGGGACUCCAGGUUCCCUGAAGCAGCACCUCGGCUGGGAGCAGUGUGGCAGUGUCUAUUGGAGACAAGCAGUGACAAAGCAUUCCAGGAGAAGCUUCCCCAGGAGCAAGGCAGGUCUUUCUGAAGCAACUACCCCUUUAAAAACUGUUUUGAGAAGCACGUGUUAAGUUGCACCACUCCUCAUGUUGAUUCAUGUCAGUAGAGAUGUAUUUGGUACAGCUUUGUUAGCUCUUGCUACAUAAUCGAAUAUGUCCAGCUGCUAGCUUUAAUGUAAUACUUGUUUCCAUUAUGCCCAGGAUAAUGUCAAUACCUGAGACUUAAUCAAAUGCUUGACAAAGCUGAGAUGAAGACAAUGGAUUCAAUUAUCUCAGAUAACUGAUUUUCUUUGUAUGAUGUUGUCAAUGUUCAAAAGGCUAGGUGGAUUAACAGUCUGUCAAGAAUUGGCAGGCUUGUGCUAGUCUUGCGUCC
This 843-nucleotide long non-coding RNA is filed under the name Struthio camelus australis. RNAcentral describes it as "lncRNA (ENSSCUG00000016831.1)". The record is from RNAcentral. Lineage: Eukaryota; Metazoa; Chordata; Aves; Struthioniformes; Struthionidae.